UAUAGGGUGGCUGAAUAAUAGGCGUUGGAUUGUAAAUCUAAUUAUGGGGAAGGAGACCCCCCCUAUAAA
Molecule: transfer RNA, 69 nt
Filed under: Amphiura sp. CZ-2022
Lineage: Eukaryota; Metazoa; Echinodermata; Ophiuroidea; Amphilepidida; Amphiuridae
Description: tRNA-Tyr
Rfam family: tRNA
About the family: Transfer RNA (tRNA) molecules are approximately 80 nucleotides in length.
Source: RNAcentral